This 530-nucleotide long non-coding RNA is filed under the name Hermetia illucens (black soldier fly). RNAcentral describes it as "uncharacterized LOC119655682, transcript variant X2". Lineage: Eukaryota; Metazoa; Arthropoda; Insecta; Diptera; Stratiomyidae. The record is from RNAcentral.
CUGACAUUGCACUGGACGGUUUAAAUCUUACCUUUUGCGUUUAGGUUACUUACGGACAGCGUUCACUUUAAAUUUUUAGUAAUGUCCUUCUAACUGUGUUUCUUAGCGUGUAGAGUCUAAUCCAUCCACGCAUAAUAGCUUCAAUCAUUAUUAAAUACCACAUCUGAGGUAACUACGAUCAGUAAUCAAGAUACGUGCAAGAUCAGCAGUUGGUGAGAUGUUGCAGAUAAAAUUCAAUCUUAUUUUCUUUGCUUUUGUUUUGCUAGUUUUGGUGCAGUUCAAGACUGGACAAAGCAUUGACUCCCCCUUUUCACGAAACUCCAAUCUGGCCGCUAAUCCCGAAAACAUUCGACAAACAGCAAAUGAGGCCCUGGAAUUAUUGAGCAACAUCACGGAUCUCGUUAUUAACAAAGUCAGGAAUGGAGUCCAACAACUUACCCAGAAAAUGUCAAAUUCAACUGGAUAAAAUUAGGCAAAAUAUUGAACCUUUUUGGAAUUAAAUUAUAAAAAUAAAAUGCAAUAUAAAAGUA